Passer montanus (Eurasian tree sparrow) is the source of this 4404-nucleotide long non-coding RNA. RefSeq lists it as uncharacterized. The record is from RefSeq and is a predicted model, not a curated record. The transcript is spliced from 2 exons. NCBI's taxonomy places the organism in Eukaryota, Metazoa, Chordata, Aves, Passeriformes, Passeridae.
GCCCCGGCCCGAGGGGAGGGCGCGGGGUGGCGGAGCCUCGUCCGCUCGACGGCCGGGUUGGCGGGCCCUGGUGCGACCCGCAGGGAGGCGGUGAGGGUGGCUGUGGCAGCAGUGCCCCAGGUCCCUGCUGGAGCGGGAUCAGUUGCGUGCAGGGCUUGAGGAAGGGAAAACAGCCCGUGUGCCCGGGGGCUGGGCACGGGCUGAGCUGGAGGCAGCAGCAGCAAGGAUUUUUUUAUGUUUUGGGAUGUGGAGGUUCAUAGGUGGAGGUAAUGAGGGAGUAGGAGGUUUGUUUUGGUUUGGGUUUUUUUCCUAUAUUCUUUGCCCUGUGAGAUUGAACUGUUCACCUGUCUCAGAUCUGGAGAGUGAAGUAAACUUGAGAAAGCUUGGGAGUACAGUCUGUUUACUUGUUUCCUGAGUGGCAGUAGGAAUUUCUUCCCUUUUCUUUUCUUACUGCUAUGCUGUUACAGGUGUUUCUUCCAAACUGAGAUGGAUGAAGAGGUGUUGUCAUUUACUACUGAUGUUCUGUCUUUUACAAGUCCUGUGUCUGGUGGAUUUAUGUAGUGAUUGCUGGCCUGUUUGCCAAUAAGUGUGACGUUUGUUUUGCUACUUCUUUACUUAUAUAGUUUCUUUAUUGAGCUUUUGGUUCCAAAGAUGGUAGAUUGGAAGCUGCUGUUUAGUCUGAACUCUUGAUAUUCUUUCAGCUGCGAUGCAAGGGGACCAGCAAGUUUUCUAAUAUGUUAAUGCUUGCACUGUGUCUCAGGAAGGAUGAGACAUCCAGGGCUCCAGGAAGGUACAUCUCCAUAGCACUUGUCCCAUCAGAUGUUGUUAACAGCUGUUGGAGACUUUUACCUGAUUUCUUUUUAAUGGUAACUUGGAUAGAUUUCAUCCUGUAGUGUCUUUUUGCGUCAUUGUAGCAUCUCAUAUCGCUCAAUAUUAAAGUUGGCAUCUGAACUUUAAUCCAAGAAUGAAUUAUUCUGAAAGUCACUAGUGUGUUAAAAGUCUAGUUGAUUAGUCCCCACUGUGUAGGCUUGGGUAAUUUUAUUUCAGAUUUUUUUUUUUUACUUCAGAUAUUUUUGUUUCCAUUUUGAAACACUGAAUUCUGCCCUUUGCAGCUCAAUUUUCACGUAAAUUUACAGUAUGGACCAGAUGUUUGUUUUCUUUCAAGGAGUGCCCCUGUGGCCCUUUUAUACAUUCUUGUUCAUCUCAAACUUUGAGUUGCUCUACAUGAAUAGUGUGUUUGGUUUGGGUUUUUUUGUUUUUUUUUUUGUAAAGUUAGUGUGUCUAGACAGAUUUGAGUGGUACCAAAAUCCAAAAGAAGAAAGUUAUUAAAGCCUUUUAAAAAAUGCCUAUGUGCCUGAUGCUAAAUAAAGAAGACCUUGGAUUGAAUAAACACUGAUAGGACCUGAAGUUUCCGUUCUGCACUUGAGAGAUACUUCAGUUUGCUUUCUUUGGAGGGCCUGAUUACAGCUGGUUUGGUGCUUAUCUUGUUUUGAUUCUGUUAACUUUGGUAGGCCUUGAUUUGAUUUUUUACUUUUUUUUUGAACCCUCUUAAAUUUUGGAAAUAGAGUUCUGGAAGAUACUUAAAUGUGUGAAGUAUUUGCAUUUUGCCCUGUCUCGGUGUCAGUCCUGGCCACCUGCAGUGGAGGGCCCCAAGGCAGGUGUGGUGACAUGCAGGCAGAUGGUGCAGGACUGCCCACUGUGCCUGGGCUUGCAGGGCAGCAUGGAAAGCUGUAAGCAGCUGUGCUUUUGUCACAAGUCUGUCUUGGAUCUGAAGCAGGUAUUUUUGCUAGAAAUGGUCCUGGUGUUUCACUGUAGUAGUGAUGAGCUAACCUACCAGUAUGGUGCCAUGGCAAGCAGGGGAGUAAGGGAAGAACUGGACAAGCUGAGGCUCUUCAAGACAUAACCUAGAGCAGAAGUGCUGGCUGUGCUGGAGACCAUUUCCCUUCCCUAAGAGAAGUGAUCUCAGCUGGCCUGAGGCCAGCUGAAAAGUUAUGUUCUCCCUAGAUGAAUUGUAAAGAUCCUUCUCUUCCAGCAAAAAAAAAAAAAAAAACCCAAAAAAAAACCAGCUGUACUUGUUGCAAUCAUUUUUUUCCCCUGUGGUUGAAUAUUAGGGUCAACACUUUCCCUGGCAGAUUUUCUGGGUUGUAUGGAAACCAUGGCCCACUGUAGCUGCUGCCCUGCUUGGAGCCUUUGCCAGAGUACUGGCUUUCUUUUAACACUUUUGGAAGUCAUUUGUGAAGAUCAAAAGUUACCAGUGUAUUGAGCAAUGCAAAACUUGUUUCCCUGUAUCCAGGCUGAGAUUCAUUUGGCACUCUCAGGUGUUAACCUUCAUUUUUCAGAUAAUGAAGGUGUGCAGCUGUGGAAGUGGUUUGAACAACUGUGGCAUCCAUGUGUAUGAAAAUGAAGUAAUUAUGCAUGCCAGAUACCAUCAAACAAAGGGUGGCCUACUAUGUCUCCUUUCCACUGAAUUAGGCCAGUGUGCAAUAGUAGCUUUCACUGACUAGAUGUGUAGUAGCUACAAAUCUCUAGCUCUGGCAGUGGGAGCUGUGCUGAGGAUUGAGAGUACUGAAGUGCCAUAAAUUGCAGAACUCAUCUCGAAGACCAGGGCUGGGAAAGUUUGAAUGAGAACUAAGGCCUGUUGUUUUUUGACAGUGAAUGGAUUGACCAUUGGAACGAGCUGUCUGGAGGUAGAGGGGAACCUCCAUUCUUUGUGCUCCAAUUCAAGGCCACAAACUUUUCUGAAAGAUGUUCAAGCCUUUGGGCUCGACUAAGGAAAUGGAAACUUUAGGGCCAGCAUUACGUGAGGUUGAGACCAGAUGGUCUGAUGGGCUUUGUGAAUUCAGGUUUAAUGUGUCUAUGCUGCUAGAGCCAAGAUAACUAACUUGUCCAUUCUCUGCAAAGUGCCAUGUCAUCCCAGGUGUGUCUGUCCUGGUGUGAGUACAUGGUUUGAUGAGCAGCUGAGCUGACCAACAGCCCCAAUGGCUCAUCUCAUUCCUGCUUCUGCCAGUGUGGACUCAUCCUCUUCUUGGAGCUUUGGUAUUCAUCCACCCUGGCCCUGAGCUAAUUCAUCUCACUAAACCAGCCAGAAACUAUAAUCUUGUUUUAAUUGUGUUUUAUUCUGGCUGUGUUAGUCCCUUUUAUAGGUUCCUGUGGUUGAAUCAGCUUGCAGAAGGGCCAGACAGGCUCAGGAACUGGUGUAACGUAAUCAGCAGGAGAGCAAGACCGAGAGGGAAGGACAGGCCUGCCUCCUUUUGGCCUCCCAGAACUGUUGGCUUGGUUAGCCUCAUUUGUGUAGUUUCACACUGGUGCAUUUUCUUAUGGCUCCCAGGCAGAGGCAGGAGACUGGACUAGAGGAUUUUUGGUCUGAUCCUGUGAAACUGUUCUUUUCCUUAAUAGCAGAUCUGUUCUUCCUCUUUGGCUUUUGCUGUAUGUGUCCCUGUUAAUGCUUCUUUGUUUUAAUUUUUGUUCUUUCCUUUCUCUACAUUUCUUCUAAGUGACCAGUCCUUUGCUGUGUGGAACUUCUUCAGACUCCAGCUUAGACCCGUUUGCUCAUCUGCAGUUACUCUUGGAGAAGGUUUAAAAAUACACAGCAAAGCCUGUCUUAGGAGACCAGUCAAGGAGCUGACGAAACUUUGUAGGGUGCCAUAGCUCCAGCAAGUGCUUCCCUAAGUAAUCAGCGCCUUCAGCCUUGCACAUUGUGAUCUCACAAGCCAUCGCGUCUGUGAUGUCACAAUGGAAGAGAUUCUGGUGCUCUGACAUGUGGGGUCGUGCCUUUGACAAAUCAGCCAAGGAACCCAGCGGCAAGAAUGAGCUCAAGAAAUGGGAGAGACCUUCCUUAACCCAAGAGUGCCCUCCAUCCUUUAGUCAGCCUUUUCCGUGUUCACUUACCUCUUCCCUAAUGGCCAUACAGAGGGAAACCAGUGCCUGUAUAGGGUGAAUUAAUUUUUUCAGUUGACCUACCAUGAUGCAUGUUUCUCCCAGAUGAGCAGUUGCCCAACUCUCCUCCUGUACCCCUCAUUCUUUUCUGUUGUUCCCCUCACUUGUAUUGCUUCUAAUUUUAGACUGUAAGUUCUUGAGAACAGGGACCUCCUCAUCUGUAGUGGGAAGAGCCUGGGUGUGAUUGUGGAGUACUGUAAAAACAAAACAAUGAAUGCCAAGUUGUAUCUGAGCUGAGUAAUGAUGGGGCAGCAUAUAGAUGUGCCAUGACAUUACAAAUUUUCCAAAACACAGGCGUGGUUGUCUAGCAGUGCUGGAGACAAACCCAGCCAAACGUGAAGGGAGUGCAGCCAUGAAGUGUACUGUUCUCAUGUUGAAGUGAUGAUACUGUGAGGUUAACAAAUUAAAGAAAGAAGCAAAUCUACCUGUCUAAAAUUGUGUUACUUUAUUAAACAGUUCUAAAAGCUU